Molecule: long non-coding RNA, 3034 nt
Filed under: Homo sapiens (human)
Lineage: Eukaryota; Metazoa; Chordata; Mammalia; Primates; Hominidae
Description: novel transcript
Source: RNAcentral
GUCACAUGUGUCGGUGCCACAGACUGAGUCACGUGGACAAGGAGCGGGUGUGCAUGCUGGGGUGGUGUCGGCGGCUGGCGUCCUUGCAGCCAGCCCAGCUAGAGUAAGUGGAAGAGAGGACAGAAGGUGAGAUGGAUGCAGAGGCGGCCAACUGUAAAGGGGAGCUGAAAAGGUCAGUCGCCGGAGGGGAUGUGAAGCUGGCAGUAGGAGACUGCUAGGCGCCAGGAACCAAGGCUCAAGCUUAGGUCUAAGCAUGAACUGGAGCAGGAACGCUUCGCCCUUUGGAAUGUGUGUGGACAAGAAUGUGAGCAGAAAGUUUGCCGACCCCUGCUCCAGGUUAGAGAAGAGCAACAAGAGAUAUGAACUAAAAAGCCUGAAAUAAAUGUAGAUCAGUCACUUGAGCUGACAUAUGAAGCAGUCAACUUUACUCUGAGACGUUUUGUUUGAUCUUUCAAGUUUCUAAAAGUAUUUGGAAGCGGGAAACACUGUUCUUCAUAUGAGAUAAAAGGAAGAAAAAAGGACCUUAUAGUCAGGCUCAUUGUGAAAAAACUAAUAUUAAGAUAAGCUGAAGCAAUCAAAUGAGAGCAUUUGCAAAUCACUUGUUGGAGGUAAAGCUGGAAGCCUAUGUAGUUCAGGAAAAUGGAAGAUGAGAUGGCUGAGAUCCCACGAAAAGACCACGUCCAAUAGAAACUGUAAUAAAACAGAGCUCAGCUACAGGAAUUUUCAAUGAUGACAAAAUUUUAAAGACAUGCUUCUACUUUUGUAUUGACUAAAGAUCUUCAGGUUGAAAGUGUCAAGAUCUGCUUAAUAGCAUAUCCUCUGUUGCAACAUUCAAAAUCAUCAGGAUUCUUAGAUCUCAGUGAAAAAUUGAUGUUUGAAGAAUAAUUGAAGUAUUCAGUCCAUAAGGAAGCCUGAAGCUCCCUAUACACCUUGAAUUUCAUGCUAAAUAAUCUGCAAGUUCUGGAAAAUGCUGCUUAACUCUAGAAAAACUGACUAACCUUGAUCUUGGUCAGCAUAUACUUGGUUCUUUACAUAUCACUUAUCAAUGGUCAGAAAGGGAAGAAUACUUGAACUUAUCUAACACAAAAAUUCACAAUUUAACCAAUUGUUUCCCAGACACGAGGCUUACUAGAAGUGAGCCUUGUAAACUUUUAUUUAGCUGCAAUUUAAAUAACUUUACAUUUUCAGAUAUGUGUUGAAGACCCUACCAGAUGCUUUCUUCCCCUUUGAGAAGAAGCAGGAAAAGAAAACUUUCUCUAAAGGGCAACUUGACUCUUUUCACACACUGAAGACUUUGGAAGCUGGUGGCAACAACUUCAUUUGCUCCUGUGAAUUCCUCUCCUUCACUCAGGAGCAGCAAGCACUGGCCAAAGUUCUUAUCGGUUGGCCAGCAAACUACCUGUGUGACUCUCCAUCCCACGUGUGUGGCCAACAGGUUCAGGACGUCUGCCUUUUGGUGUCGGAGUGCCACAGGGUGGCACUGGUGUCUGGCAUGUGCUGUGCCCUGUUCCUGCUGAUCCUGCCCAUGGGGGUUCUGUGCCACUGUUUCCACAGCCCGUGGUACAUGAAAAUGAUGUGGGCCUGGCUCUAGGCCAAAAGGAAGCACAGGAAAGCUUGCAGCAGGGACAUCUGCUAUGACGCAUUUGUUUCUUAUAGUGAGCAGGAUGCCUACUGGGUGGAGAACCUUAUGGUCCAGGAGCUGGAGAACUUCAAUCCCCUCUUCAAGUUGUGUCUUCAUAAGUGGGACUUCAUUCCUGGCAAGUGGAUCAUUGACAAUAUCAUUGACUCCAUUGAAAAGAGACACAAAACUGUCUUUGUGCUUUCUGAAAACUUUGUGAAGAGUGAGUGGUGCAAGAAGGAACUGGACUUCUCCCAUUUCCGUCUUUUUGAUGAGAACAGUGAUGCUGCCAUUCUCAUUCUUCUGGAGCCCAUUAAGAAGCCAUUUGCCUUAGUCAAUCUGGGCUGCUAUAGCAAAAAUGCCAAUAGACUGGGUAGUUUAUAGAUAAGAGAAAUUCAUUUCUCACAGAUCUAGAGGCUGGGAAGUCCAAGAUCAAGGUGUUGGCAGAUUUGGUAUCUGGUGAGGAACUCUUCCAGGCUCAAAGAUAGCUGUCUUCUCACUGUGUUCUUGGUGGUGGAAGGGGUGAGGGAACUCUCUGAAGUUUCUUUUGGAAGGGAACUAAUCCCAUUCAUGAAGCUUCUGCCCCCAUGACCUAAUCACUCAUCAAAGGGCCCACCUCCAGUACCUCACAUUGGGGGUUAGGAUUUCAACAGAUGAAUUUCAGGAGGACACAGGCCUUCAGUCUAUGGCUAGGAUCAUUCCCCAGCAUUUCUGUUAAGCUGCAGAAGAUAAUUAACACCUAGACCUGCCUGGAGUGGCCACUAAUGAAGCUCAGCGGGAAGGGUUUUAGUUAAAGAAAACUCCUAGUUUUUAGUUCGACCAUUGUGGAAGACAGUGGUGAUUCCUCAAGGAUCUAGAACUAGAAAUACCAUUUGACCCAGCCAUCCCAUUACUGGGUAUAUACCCAAAGGAUUAUAAAUCAUGCUACUAUAAAGACACAUGCACACGUAUGUUUAUUGCGGUACUAUUCACAAUAACAAAGACUUGGAACCAACCCAAACGUCCAUCAAUGAUAGACUGGAUUAAGAAAAUGUGGCACAUAUACACCAUGGAAUACUAUGCAGCCAUAAAAAAGGAUGAGUUCAUGUCCUUUGUAGGGACAUGGAUGAAGCUGGAAACCAUCAUUAUGAGCAAACUAUCACAAGGACAAAAAACCAAACACUGCAUGUUCUCACUCAUAGGUGGGAAUUGAACAAUUCCCACCUGGACACAGGGUGGGGAACAUCACACACCAGGGCCUAACGUGGGGUGGGGGGCUGGGGGAGGGGUAGCAUUAGGAGAAAUACCUAAUGUGAAUGACGAGUUAAUGGGUGCAGCACACCAACAUGGCACAUGUAUACAUAUGUAACUAACCUGCACGUUGUGCACAUGUACCCUAGAACUUAAAGUAUAAUAAUAAUAAAUAAAACAUAUCAA